Long non-coding RNA from Populus trichocarpa (black cottonwood), 2576 nucleotides. RefSeq lists it as uncharacterized. Lineage: Eukaryota; Viridiplantae; Streptophyta; Magnoliopsida; Malpighiales; Salicaceae. The transcript has 4 exons. The record is from RefSeq and is a predicted model, not a curated record.
CUUUCCGCCUACCAUCUUUUGAAGGUAACCCUUUUCUCCUCUCUCUCCUAUUUAUAUAGAGAUACUUACAAUUUAGUGGCUAUUCAAUGAAAGCAAGUUUCUUUACAAGAAAAAGAAAGUUUACUGAUUUUUAUAGCUGGUAGGCUGUAAACCAUUUAGCUGAAUUUGGAAUUUAUAAUGUUCAAAUUAAAAAAAUAAAUAUUAUUUCUAUGAUUUUUGCUUUUUUUUUUUUCAAUCUGGGUUUUGUGGUACUGCCUUUGUAUGUUUGUUUCAACUUGUUAUAUUAAAUUCUGGGGCAUUUGCGAACUUUGUUGUGAUUGAAUUAUGGAAGUUGGAAUAUACGAUUAUCUACUGUAACCGGGUUUUGCUUGUUGGUUUGUUCAAUUCUUGGAGUUUUUUAUUUUUAAAUGGUUGGUCAAAGUAAAUGUUUUUGUUGAAAGAAUGGUAAGAUUGAUCACUUAUUAUCAUGUUGUAUAAUUCAUUAGUAAGAUUAUUACAAGAUAAAAAUCUCUAUAAGCUAUCAUUUGAUGUCAUAUAGGCUAUAGUCUUGGAAGUACUUUUGCUAUUCAGGUGAAGUUAUUGUGACACUUGAUGUUUUCAUGCAUGCUAUUUUUCAACAAGAAAGAAAAAACUUGCUGUUUUUAUAAGGGAACAUUUUAUUUUUGGUACGGCAUCAUCUAUGGCAAGCAGAAGAGCUAUAGACACUUGGUUUUGGUGCUCAAUCUGCAGGAUGCCAACGUUUUCAGAGGCGUUUGAUUUUGCAAAGGCAGUUCUGCACAACGAGUAGUGGAGUUUCUAUUUCUUGCUCCAACUCCACCUAUUGAAAGGUUAAAGGAUGCACGAGUAAUAUAGAGUGUAGUUCCUGCCAUGGGUCAUAACCAGGAAUCUUCAGCUGAACUCUGCUUUCAUAGAUGGAUGUUCUAAUGUGUUAUGGAGUCUUUGCUCCUGUGAAGUAUUCAUUUCUGGGGCAUGCUUGUCUUGUUUUUGUGGUGGACAUCGGUUACAUGAAGUCUUGCUUUGGCUUGUGUUCUGAUCAUGUCAUUCUUUAGAAUAUUUUCUUUAUUCUAUCACAAAGUGAGAAAACCGAAGCUUACUUGAGGGGCUUUUCUCCAUCCUUUUAUCGUGCUCCUUUAGCAUACUUGGGCUCUGAAACUCAAAUUGGUUCGAUUGAGCUCAGUGUAUUUCCAUAUGUAUGUGCCAGUUGACUAAAUGCUGGACUUUUUAGAGGUUGAUUAUACAUGUUUUGGCUACCUAUUGAGGAACAUUUGAUUGUUUCUCAGUGUGUUGUUUCAAAUUACAAAUUCAAUUUUUGUCUUCAAUUAUAUAAGAGCAUACCUAAUCAGGAUAGGAUUGGAAGAUCUUGAAUUAGUACAAUUUAUGACAUUGGAAGAAAUGUCAACUGCAUGCCCCUUAAAAAGUUGGGAGUACUGUAUAGGGACUAACAAUUUGCAGCUGAGGGAGUAACUUCUUGAUUUACUAUGGUGUUGCUUCUUUGCAAUUCAUGCUUUGGUUAUCUUUGAAGGUGUGUGUGUGUGUGUUUUUUUUUUUUUACUUAGUUCAUGGAUCCCCCCCCCCCCCCCCAUCAUUUAUUUUCACUUACAGGAGGCACAUCCAGAAUUCCAUCUUAGAGUUCCUGCAAUUGUGAGUGCUCUUGAAAAGAAAGAGGUCACUUCGAAGGAUUUGCUUUGAUCAAGCCUCCAGGGCAUCAUGCUAUACCAAAAGGGCCCAUGAGCUUUUGUGUUUUUGGCAAUGUGACCAUUGCAGCUCAUCAUGCCCAAUCGUGUGCAUGGAUUAAAACGAGUCUCAAUCAUUGAUUUUGAUGUUCACCAUGGGAAUGGGACGAAUGAUGCAUUUUAUGAUGAUCCAAAUAUAUUCAAGAUGGAAGCUAUCCAGGUACUUGUAAAAUUGACGAGCUAGGUCAUGGAGAUGGUGAAGGUACAUUUUUAAAUCUGCCUCUACAAAGAGGCUCAGGUGAUAUUGCCAUUAGCACCGUAUUUGAUGAAGUCAUUGUACCAAGUGCUCAAAGGUUCAAGCCAGAUAUUUUUCUUGCUUCUGCUGGGUAUGAUGGUCCUGUUCUGGAUCCACUAGGAAGUCUUUGAUUUACAACAGGAACAUGCUGCAUGCUUGCCUCUAAUAUUAAACAACUGGCGAAAGAUCUGUGGUGCCCGUUGUGUGUUUUUCUUGGAGGGAGGAUACAACCUUGAUUCUGUUUCAUAUUCAGUGGCGGGCUACUUUCAUGCUUUCAUUGGGGAGAAGAGUUUGGCAUCUGAGUUUGAUAACCCUGCCAUCAACUAAUAUGAAGCAAGCGAUUCGGAGAAUUAAACACAUGCAUUCUCUUUGAAGAUGUGUAGGCAUUAAUUACAUGUCUGUCUAGAAGUAGCUUUGCCAGCAAGCUUGUUGGGCACCUAAAACACCAGCAGAGCUUUCCUUGGUUGAAUACUGCAAUCUCCAAGGUGGUUCUUUAGAUGUCUUAAAAGGAUAGUAAUUUUCCUGUAUAGUAUCGUUUAACACGUACAAGUAACACGCGUUAGCUAGUAAAGUUAUAUCCUGCAAAAGAAGAUUCUAGUUCAUAUUUA